Apis florea (little honeybee) is the source of this 511-nucleotide long non-coding RNA. The record is from RefSeq and is a predicted model, not a curated record. NCBI's taxonomy places the organism in Eukaryota, Metazoa, Arthropoda, Insecta, Hymenoptera, Apidae.
AAGUCACCAAGUCAAGUGCACUCUGGCAAAGAAUACACAUGGAAGGACCUAUCUAUAUAUCCGCCCAAGUUCGGAGCCUGAGCUGUGCAGGUGGAGGACGGCACGAAGAUGGCUUAAAUUCAUUAACCACCCCAUUGAAUCGGCAGCAGGAAGGCUUGCACGUCGCUCGACCCGCUCUUAACGCCAAUGGAAUUGUUAAUCCUCUGGUAGGUCAUCGCGCUUACCGAUCGAGCACGCAUGCGCAACACCCAUUCCCCGUGUCGAUGUGUUAACGAUCGCAAUAACAAUUAUCGUUUCAGUUAUGCCCCCUCUUCCCCCAUAUUGUUCAUCCCGAGCGAUGAUUACUGAUUGGUUCCACGGGGUGAAAAUAUCGAAAUCCUACGAUUACCAGGCUUUCUUGCAACCCAUUUCUCUCCCGCUCGUGUAAAUUGUAAUCGGGAAUAUGCGCGCGCCACAGAUCCGUGUGGAUCACUCCACGGCCGGAUACGUGAUACACCGUUAACACUUGACG